CAUAACUCAGCUGGAUAGAGUGUCAGACUUCGAAUCUGAAAGUCGUGAGUUCGAAUCUUACUGGG
This 65-nucleotide transfer RNA is filed under the name human gut metagenome. It matches the Rfam family "tRNA", at positions 6 to 65 of the family's 71-position model. Rfam says of the family: Transfer RNA (tRNA) molecules are approximately 80 nucleotides in length. The record is from RNAcentral.